AGUGAGUUCUAUAUAUAUAUAUAUUUAUACACACACACACACUUCAGUUUUUAAUAUGAACAAUGCUAUGUAUGAAAAGAUGCAGGUGUACUACAUCUGAAUUGAUAUUUAUUUCAGGCCAGUAUUAAGAUAACCUGAUCUUCUUUCACAACGUGUAGUGACUCAGCCCCUGCCUGAAUCUCUGCACUGAGGAAGAUACAGUGGUGAUGUCAUCAAGAGGACUUUUCUGCAGAAUGCCAUCUUCCUGAUUCUGAGAAUGCAUCCUCAUCUUGAAACCGAAGUGACUCAGCCCCUACCUGAAUCUCUGCACUGAGGAAGAUACAGUGGUGAUGUCAUCAAGAGGACUUUUCUACAGAACCGUCAAGAAAGAUCGUAACUGCCCAUGGUACACCCUCGAACUUCGAGUGCUUAAAUCUGCCUGCCGCAAGCUUGAGCGCAGGUGGAGGUCGUCUGGACUAACGGUUCAGAGAGAUAUCUGGACCAACCAUCUCGCGAGCUACAGGCAUGCGCUCGCUGCGGCCAGGGUGAAAUACUUCUCUGAAAUCAUGCGGUGAUGAGCUAAGGUUUUUAGUUCCUAAUUUACAAAUCAGAUGUGUGAAAGAAAAACUACUCUGGCCCUCUGAUGAAAUUAUGCAAAUUCUGUAAGGUACCAGACUCACCUGUCUGGAAAACAAUGAGGACCGUCAGUGCCCUUUGCUGUCUGCUUGCUGCAACCCUUUUCAUGUGUGGGGGGUCUGUCACAGGCAAGCAGGUGCACUUUGGGAAAUGUGCCUUGAACCUUCACCUGCACAAUUUAAGGGAACAUUUCAACGAAAUGGACAGUUUCAUUCCCCAAGGUGAUUCGAGCAUCGCACUUCUGGAUGGAGAUGCUUUGAAUGAUAUAAAG
Molecule: long non-coding RNA, 886 nt
Organism: Acipenser ruthenus (sterlet)
Lineage: Eukaryota; Metazoa; Chordata; Actinopteri; Acipenseriformes; Acipenseridae
Exons: 7
Source: RefSeq, a predicted model, not a curated record